UCCAUUCUUUCUCUCCCUCCCUCCCCCGCCUCCACCAGCGAGCCCCUCUUCUCUCCCUUGCUCCGAUCUGGUGGAGCCGCCGCCCCCAACCUCUCUCUCCGACUACGAUCCGCCGCCGCCUCCAACUGCUCCCACCCCACUCCUCUUCCCCUCCUCCUUGGGUAGCCCAGUCGUCAUCGCGACCGAGGACCAGAGACGCGUGCGGGAAGCUCAAGGCGGAGGAGGAGCAGCGGUGGCGGCGGCGGCGAGUCAGGGCGAGGCCAGCACCGAGGACCAGAUCUCGCUCCUGCCGCCUCCCGGGGAUGCCCGCGCGGGCCUUCGGCGGAGCUAGGCCCCGCGCUCCUAUUCGUUGGCGCCUGCGCUUGGGAGAAUCGAGGGCAGGUUGUGCGCGGCCCUCGUCAGCCGCAUCUGCUAAGGUGGUGGCCGGGCCGGCGGCGGAGGUGGCGGCCCGGCUGUGAGGGGAGGUCACGUGGUGAGGAGCGAUGGAUCCACCGGCGAGGACGGGCGUGGCUCAUACAAGGGGGGAGGCUCUUACAGCGGGAGGACCGGCGAGGGUGGGCAUGGCUCAUACCAGGCGGGAGGCUCUUGCGGCGGGAGGACCGGCGAGGGUGGGCAGGGCUCAUACCACAGGGAAGGCUCAUACGGCGGGAGGUCCGGCGGAGACGGCGCCGGGCAUGGGCAUGGGCAUGGAGGGAGCGCACGUGGUGGGCGUGGCGCGCGCGGAUCCGAGCAUGAGCAGGCCAACGGUUUCUGGGGAGGCCUUCGGCGCCGCCUGAAGAAGACGCUUGAUGAACGUGACCUGGUGGAGGCCCUCGAGGAGCUGCAUUACCAAGUAGAGAUUGGCAAGGCCGGUGGUGAGAAGUGGAAGUCCUGAGUGAUGAUAGGAGGAAGCAAACUUGCUGAAGCAAACUUUCCCGGCAAGAACGGAUCCCUCAAGCUGGACGAAUGGGUGUUGUGCCGGAUGUACAACAAGAAGAACAACUGGGAGAAGGUCAAGGUGGAGCAGGACAUGGCCGUGGAGGCAUGGCCUGGACGCUCGUCAACCUCGGCCACUUCGUGAUUACAUACCACUUCUUCCACUGGAAGAAGGGAACUCGAUUCGCUGAUGAUCAGGGGAUGUAUAAUAGAUUGACUUGGUGGGAGCAAAUGGACAACGGCAAGCAGCUUACUCGCAACAGAAAUUUUUUUGUUGUGGUUCCUGUAGUCCUCGGCCGUGCUCCACCAGCUAUUUUUUGGUUCUUGCAAUCAGGGGACUUCCUUGCAAGACAGGGCCCGCCCUCUUUUGCUUCUUCUACUACCUACUGUUGCUGAUUGGUCUAUGCACAAUUGAUAAUCCAUCAAUGUUUAUUUGCUACUUCUGUAGUAGCUGAUAUGCUUGAUGCGUGUAUCUCUAUCUCCUUACAGCUUUGCUAGAACCAUAAAUCCUGAUGCAUGAUGAUUAUAGUCUGGUUUGCUAGAUCUGUUCUAUUGGUGCUUAAAAUUUGACAUGCCUGGAUUCUGAACUUUUCAUUUCUAUGAUCAAUUUAGUUAGAGUUGCACAUGUCAGUAUACUAUAUACCAAAAAAACCGUAGCUAGUGAGAACAUUUCACUCCAUGAACAUAUACUGGUUAGUGUUAGUCAUACUAUUUAUCUACAUGGCAUUUCCUGUCAAUUCUUGCUUAUAAGUUAUUGGAUUCCUCAUUGGCUAUUGUUUGAUGUUCUGUACACAUUCUUAUUCUUAUAUUUUCAUUCUUAUCCUUUGCACAGGUGAAGUGCGAAUCGAAGUCCGAAGCUGUGAAGCAUAUCAACAAGUAGUAGCAUAUUAUGUGUUGUAAUUGUAGGCAGUAGUAGGCAUAUCUGGCUUGUAGUAUACUGUAAUGAUUAUGAUAGACUAAUGUAUUGUUGUUUUGGAUCAAUUUUGAUUGCUCUCUGGUCUAAUAAUUAUUGUGUAUGUGGUUUGAAUACCUGUGAAAUGGAAACCUGACAAUGG
Long non-coding RNA from Triticum dicoccoides, 1970 nucleotides. RefSeq lists it as uncharacterized. The transcript has 7 exons. The record is from RefSeq and is a predicted model, not a curated record. Lineage: Eukaryota; Viridiplantae; Streptophyta; Magnoliopsida; Poales; Poaceae.